UUUCACCAACGGAUUGAGUCUGCAAUGAUUUGUGGUCUUCAGCUUUUGUCAAGUUCCUCUCUCAGCAAAGAUGCACCCACAUUGCAACCAUACUUCAGAUUAUACACACCUUCUUCCUGCAAGCAUCAAACAAUACAUAUCAUAUUCAAGUGAAUUCGCGACAGUGAAUAGCUUUUUUACCGGCGGUAAAAAUCCACAAGCAAAAGGGAAUCAAAGUAUUUUCAGAAGAAGGUACAGGGUACAUGUUACCUUUUUCAGAAUAAACACCAAAAUAGGGUAGACAAACUGGCGGCACCAAAAUCACUUCCAAGUUUGACAUCCCUUUGAUCUUAACGGCCAAGGAAAAACCCUAACAGUGGGACUAUAAAAGGAGAGGAUACUGUUCACAGAGGGGGGGAGAAGAUUAGCGGCUACUGAGAGAGCUGAAAAACCCUAGUUUUUGGAGAGGAUUGGCGGCUACCAUUCAGAAAAGAAAAGGAGAGAUUUGAAGGCAACGCUUACUCACAUUCGUCGGUCGAACUCGCCGCAACCGGUUAGCUUCCUUUCCGAGCUUUAUUUCCAUGUUUCGAUUAUGCUUUGAACUUCAUGUUUGAUUUAGCAACACCGCUGCCUGUUUGAUUGUGAUGUUAACUUGUUGUUAAGACUUUGAUUUUCAAAAUGGAAAGAAGACUGAGCUUGGUCAUUCGUUCGUUACUGUUUUCAACAUGAGCUUUGGUUAUUCGUAGUUACUAUUUUCAACUUUGUGUUUUAUUUAAAAGGUUUGGUGCGUCUUUUGUUAUAUUAUGUAUUAGUGUUUGAAACUAUAUAACAAGGAUGUCUAUCUGGUUGAG
Molecule: long non-coding RNA, 830 nt
Filed under: Lathyrus oleraceus (garden pea)
Lineage: Eukaryota; Viridiplantae; Streptophyta; Magnoliopsida; Fabales; Fabaceae
Description: Pisum sativum (pea) long non-coding RNA (PSAT_LNC038225)
Source: RNAcentral